UCUUCCAACUUUUUUUCCAUCCGGGCUGC
Molecule: non-coding RNA, 29 nt
Filed under: Mus musculus (house mouse)
Lineage: Eukaryota; Metazoa; Chordata; Mammalia; Rodentia; Muridae
Also listed under: 1 other name
Source: RNAcentral